GUCACAGGGGAUGGGCCAUUACCAUUGUGACGUCGGCGCCCAUGGCUACUCUCCCUUUUCGAAACGUUUUGAAAGACAAUGCAACCGUCCCCAUGGAAUCUUAUUGGAGCUCUAGUUGAAAAACGCCCAAAAGAUUUAUGUUAUACAACGUUUGACAUGUUUGAACGAACUUAAAUAUAUAUUUUUUGCUCAUUCCUGACGACAAGUCCGACGCACACGGUACAUUUUCAGUAGCCUUAGAGCGCGCUAACACUAUUGGGACAUAAAUUAUUAACUUUUUCGAACAAAACUACAUUUGUUAUGGACCUUGUAUUCCUAGAAGUGCCUUCUGAUAAAGAUAAUCAAAGGCUCGGUAAUUCAGUAACGCAGUAAAUCAUACUCCAGGGUCACAAAGCUCCCAGAUAAUAACCAAACACCACAGGGGACCUGAGCUCUAGGACCAUGCCUCAGGACUACCUGGUAUGAUGACUCCUUGCUA
RNAcentral lists this long non-coding RNA (478 nucleotides) under Salmo salar (Atlantic salmon). RNAcentral describes it as "lncRNA (ENSSSAG00000107642.1)". Lineage: Eukaryota; Metazoa; Chordata; Actinopteri; Salmoniformes; Salmonidae. The record is from RNAcentral.